GACGAACGCUGGCGGCGUGCUUAACACAUGCAAGUCGAACGGAAAGGCCUGCUUUCCCUUUUGGUUUGCGGGGACUCGAGUGGGUAACGGGUGAGUAACUCGCGAGUGAUCUGCCCCCAGCUUGGGUAUAAGCCUGGGAAACUGGAUCUAAUUCGCUAUAGAACUGGCGGGUGGUUCCGGGGGUGGGAAACGAUUUUCUCGUGGUUGGGGCUGAGCUCGUGGCCUAUUAGCUGGGUGGAGGGGUAAUGGCCUACCAAGGCGGUGACGGGUAGCCGGGGUGGGAGGGGGGACCCGGACAUUGAGACUGAGCUACGACCCAGACUCGUAGGGGAGGCAGCAGUUGGGAAGAUAGGACGAAGUGCGGGAGCCUGAUGCAGCGAGGCCGCGUGGAGGAUGACGGGCUUCGGGUAGUAAACUCGUUUCGAGCGUGAGGAAGCCGGCUGGUUGGAAGGGUGGUGACGGUAGUGGUAGAAGAAGCACCGGCUAACUACGUG
This 494-nucleotide ribosomal RNA is filed under the name uncultured bacterium. Its description in RNAcentral is "partial 16S ribosomal RNA". It matches the Rfam family "Bacterial small subunit ribosomal RNA", at positions 28 to 507 of the family's 1533-position model. The record is from RNAcentral.